UAGGGGGUUUCCGCCCCUUAGUGCUGCAGCUAACGCAUUAAGCACUCCGCCUGGGGAGUACGGUCGCAAGACUGAAACUCAAAGGAAUUGACGGGGGCCCGCACAAGCGGUGGAGCAUGUGGUUUAAUUCGAAGCAACGCGAAGAACCUUACCAGGUCUUGACAUCCCGCUGACCGGCCUAGAGAUAGGCUUUUCCCUUCGGGGACAGCGGUGACAGGUGGUGCAUGGUUGUCGUCAGCUCGUGUCGUGAGAUGUUGGGUUAAGUCCCGCAACGAGCGCAACCCUUGAUCUUAGUUGCCAGCAUUUAGUUGGGCACUCUAAGGUGACUGCCGGUGAUAAACCGGAGGAAGGUGGGGAUGACGUCAAAUCAUCAUGCCCCUUAUGACCUGGGCUACACACGUGCUACAAUGGACGGUACAGAGGGUCGCAACCCCGCGAGGGUGAGCAAAUCCCAUAAAACCGUUCUCAGUUCGGAUUGUAGGCUGCAACUCGCCUACAUGAAGCCGGAAUCGCUAGUAAUCGUGGAUCAGCAUGCCACGGUGAAUACGUUCCCGGGCCUUGUACACACCGCCCGUCACACCACGAGAGUUUGUAACACCCGAAGUCGGUGGGGUAACCCUUACGGGAGCCAGCCGCCGAAG
This 641-nucleotide ribosomal RNA is filed under the name Psychrobacillus psychrodurans. RNAcentral describes it as "bacterial SSU rRNA". It matches the Rfam family "Bacterial small subunit ribosomal RNA", at positions 824 to 1461 of the family's 1533-position model. Lineage: Bacteria; Bacillati; Bacillota; Bacilli; Caryophanales; Bacillaceae. The record is from RNAcentral.